Hyaena hyaena (striped hyena) is the source of this 1346-nucleotide long non-coding RNA. RefSeq lists it as uncharacterized. The transcript is spliced from 3 exons. The record is from RefSeq and is a predicted model, not a curated record. NCBI's taxonomy places the organism in Eukaryota, Metazoa, Chordata, Mammalia, Carnivora, Hyaenidae.
UUGGCCUGAGACCGAACUACUCAUUUCAGCCCUGGCCUUUUCCAUUCUGUUCCAGAGGCUGGGAUGCAGAGGCCAUAGUAACGCAGCUUCCACUGUGUUCAGUGUGGACGGAAGUCCGGGGGGUGAGGGAGCAGCUGGAGAGAAGGAACCGGAGUCUCCAGUGACUUCAUGUGAGCCCAGGCACGACCUGGCAGGUGUCCCAGGCUUUCUGUGAGGCCUGCGCUCCCUGAACGGGACAGGUGUCGCUCACGGUGGAAACGCCUGGCAGCGGCUCCCAACACGUGUUUCUCAUCUCGCCAGUGGGGCCGUGGACCGCCGCAGGCCCUACACCCACUGAUAAGCACCCUUAUAAAAGACAUGCAGAUGGAGAGGAAGCAGUGUGACCGUGGAGGUAGAGAUCGGUGUGGUCCCAGAAGCCCAGAAAUACUGAUCACCCCAAAGCUGGAAGAGGCCAGGAACAGAUUCUCCCCUGGAGUCCCCUGCAGGAUUUUGGACCAGUCCCCAGAACUGUGAGAGAAGUUUCCGUUGUUUUAAAGCACCUUGGUCACAGGAAUUCACACAGGGAUCAGUCGCAGUGGCUAAUCGUCAUCUCGUGGUUGACGUACCAGAAACCGAGCUCUGGGUUCCUCCAGAGGCCACUGUUCUCGUGAUCUUACUUGAGUCGUUUGUCCCCUUCCUUCCGGCUGCUCAGACUGAAACCUGGGACACAGACGUGAUUUUUCUUUCUCUCACGUGUCACAGUCAGACCAUCAAGCAAUCUUGGAGCUUCCAUCUUGAAAGCAUGGACCCAGAAUCUGAGCUCCCCUCCAUCCCCUCCAUCCCCUCCCCUGCUUCCGUAUGAUGGAUUAUUGCAGGGUCCUCCAACUGGUGUCUCUCUCUCUCUCUCUAUCUCUCUGCCCUUUUCUGAUUUUCACUCACCCAUUAUUCAUUCCAUUCCAGCCUCCUCAUUGUUCUAAUACCCCAGGGCCUUUGCACAGACUGCUUCAGUUCCCUUGAGCACCCUUCCCCUGACAGCCCCACCUUCACAUGUUUGCUUGAAUGUCACUUUCUCAAUAAGUUCUCUCUUGUCCACUCAUUUAAAAUACAAACACCUCCCCCAGCUUUCCCGAUCUUUCUUAUCCUGCUCUAUAUUUUCCCCAUAGCCCAUAACACCUUGUGUCACGCUGUGCCCUUUAUUUAUGCACUCUGUGUGUUUACUGUCCCUAUCUCCCCACCAGAAUGUAAACUCUAGGCCAGCAGGCAUUUUUACUUCCUUUAUUCCCUGAUAUAUCACCCAGCAAAGCGCCAGACUCAAUAUAGGCACUCGAUAAAUAUUUGUUGAAUAAAUAAGUGAAAUAAAGAAAGUG